GCAUAAAAGACGCGAGCCGGCAUCGCACUUUGCUCCAUCCACCACCAAACUCCCAUUCCACCCAGCACCUACGCAAGCUAAACACAAGCAAAGCUGCACCAAACUCGAUCGAUUCUCCGGUCAAGCAGCACGCCAGCCAGAGCGCGCCGCACCCCCACCUCGCCGCCGAGCAAACACGCAACGCACGAGCCGGCCCGGCCAUGGAGGUGGAGGCGUUCCCGAUCGGGUUCACCAAGGGCGUGCGCGCGCACUGGCGCCGGCGCAAGUACCAGCGCCUGGAGGCCGGCGAGGGCGGCGGCAGCAGGUCCCAGGGCACGCAGCGCCUCGGCGGCUCCGGCGCGCGGCACGUCGGGUGGCGCGUGCGGCUGCGCGGGCUUCUCAUCCGGCGCGCGCGCGCCGUCCGCGCGAUCGUAACGGCGCCGAGGAGGCUGCUGGCGCGGGCGCGGGACGCGUACGUGGGCGGCAUGCUGGCCGUGGCCCGGAAGGCGUCGGCCACGGCGCUGCCCGGCGGCGGGCCCGAGGGGAUCUGGGCCAGGCGCGUGCCGCGGCGGAAGCAGCUGCCCUCGGCGACGGCGGCGCGGACGUCCGAGUUCGAGCAGCGGCUGGUGAUGGAGAUCUACAAGUCCCCAUCGUCGCGUCCAAGGAGCUCACCACCAUGCUCCACUCCUCCACCGCGCACCUGCAGGCGCCGCCCGCGCGCGCCUAGCUGCCCAGGCGGUCGCAACCGGCAUCCGUACGAAGGCUGGGAUUUUUCCUGCAGCCGUCGACCAGCACAACUGCAUGUACCACAUCAUGUUGAUCGAUCGAUCGAUCGAUGUGAAGCGAGGUUUCUCAAGAUGACCGUCUGCUCUCUCUCUCUCUCUCUCUCUCUCUCUCUCUCUCUCUCUCUCUCUCUCUCUCUCUCUCUCUCUCUCAGCAGGUGCUGCUACGAAGCAGAGGCACUGCUCAUGAAUUGCACUGUAGUAACUUGUUGUAAGAAUUGUAGAAAUCAAUCCUGAUUAAGCUGUUCAAACAAUUUGGUAUGCUUA
RNA transcript from Aegilops tauschii subsp. strangulata, 1028 nucleotides. RefSeq lists it as uncharacterized. The record is from RefSeq and is a predicted model, not a curated record. NCBI's taxonomy places the organism in Eukaryota, Viridiplantae, Streptophyta, Magnoliopsida, Poales, Poaceae.